GAUGAACGCUGGCGGCGUGCCUAAUACAUGCAAGUCGAGCGAACAGACCAGGAGCUUGCUCCUUCGACGUUAGCGGCGGACGGGUGAGUAACACGUAGGUCACCUACCUAUACGACUGGGAUAAUCUCGGGAAACCGGAGCUUAUACCGGAUAAUAUUUCGAACCGCAUGGUUCGAUAGUGAAAGUUGGCUUUGCUAUCACUUAUAGCUGGACCUGCGCCGUAUUAGCUAGUUGGUAAGGUAACGGCUUACCAAGGCAACGAUACGUAGCCGACAUGAGAGGGUGAUCGGCCACACUGGAAGUGAGACACGGUCCAGACUCCGACGGGAAGCAGCAGUAGGGAAUCUUCCGCAAGGGGCGAAAGCCUGACGGUGCAACGCCGCGUGAGGGAUGAAGGUCUACGGAUCGGAAAGCGCUGUUAUUAGGGAAGAACAAACGUGUAAGUAACUGUGCACGUCUUGACGGUACCUAAACAGAAAGCCACGGCUAACUACGUG
Molecule: ribosomal RNA, 497 nt
Filed under: uncultured bacterium
Lineage: Bacteria
Description: partial 16S ribosomal RNA
Rfam family: Bacterial small subunit ribosomal RNA
Source: RNAcentral